GACGAACGCUGGCGGCGUGCUUAACACAUGCAAGUCGAACGGUAAGGCUCCAGCUUGCUGGGGCACACGAGUGGCGAACGGGUGAGUAACACGUGGGUGACCUGCCCUGCACUUCGGGAUAAGCCUGGGAAACUGGGUCUAAUACCGGAUAGGACCGCACCGUGAGGGUGUGGUGGAAAGUUUUUUCGGUGUGGGAUGGGCCCGCGGCCUAUCAGCUUGUUGGUGGGGUAAUGGCCUACCAAGGCGGCGACGGGUAGCCGGCCUGAGAGGGUGGACGGCCACAUUGGGACUGAGACACGGCCCAGACUCCUACGGGAGGCAGCAGUGGGGAAUAUUGCACAAUGGGCGGAAGCCUGAUGCAGCGACGCCGCGUGGGGGAUGACGGCCUUCGGGUUGUAAACUCCUUUCACCAUCGACGAAGGGUUUCUGACGGUAGAUGGAGAAGAAGCACCGGCUAACUACGUGCCAGCAGCCGCGGUAAUACGUAGGGUGCGAGCGUUGUCCGGAAUUACUGGGCGUAAAGAGCUCGUAGGUGGUUUGUCGCGUCGUCUGUGAAAUUCCGGGGCUUAACUCCGGGCGUGCAGGCGAUACGGGCAUAACUUGAGUACUGUAGGGGAGACUGGAAUUCCUGGUGUAGCGGUGAAAUGCGCAGAUAUCAGGAGGAACACCGGUGGCGAAGGCGGGUCUCUGGGCAGUAACUGACGCUGAGGAGCGAAAGCAUGGGGAGCGAACAGGAUUAGAUACCCUGGUAGUCCAUGCCGUAAACGGUGGGCGCUAGGUGUGGGUUUCCUUCCACGGGAUCCGUGCCGUAGCUAACGCAUUAAGCGCCCCGCCUGGGGAGUACGGCCGCAAGGCUAAAACUCAAAGGAAUUGACGGGGGCCCGCACAAGCGGCGGAGCAUGUGGAUUAAUUCGAUGCAACGCGAAGAACCUUACCUGGGCUUGACAUAUACAGGAUCGCGCCAGAGAUGGUGUUUCCCUUGUGGCUUGUAUACAGGUGGUGCAUGGUUGUCGUCAGCUCGUGUCGUGAGAUGUUGGGUUAAGUCCCGCAACGAGCGCAACCCUUGUCUUAUGUUGCCAGCACGUUGUGGUGGGGACUCGUAAGAAACUGCCGGGGUUAACUCGGAGGAAGGUGGGGAUGACGUCAAAUCAUCAUGCCCCUUAUGUCCAGGGCUUCACACAUGCUACAAUGGUCGGUACAGUGGGUUGCCAGUCCGUGAGGGCGAGCUAAUCCCGCAAAGCCGGUCUCAGUUCGGAUCGGGGUCUGCAACUCGACCCCGUGAAGUCGGAGUCGCUAGUAAUCGCAGAUCAGCAACGCUGCGGUGAAUACGUUCCCGGGCCU
This 1341-nucleotide ribosomal RNA is filed under the name uncultured bacterium. RNAcentral's name for it is "partial 16S ribosomal RNA". It matches the Rfam family "Bacterial small subunit ribosomal RNA", at positions 28 to 1381 of the family's 1533-position model. The record is from RNAcentral.